RNAcentral lists this non-coding RNA (24 nucleotides) under Cricetulus griseus (Chinese hamster). Lineage: Eukaryota; Metazoa; Chordata; Mammalia; Rodentia; Cricetidae. The record is from RNAcentral.
AGGAUUUGGAGAAUAAUUAGAUGG